Molecule: long non-coding RNA, 987 nt
Organism: Scylla paramamosain (green mud crab)
Lineage: Eukaryota; Metazoa; Arthropoda; Malacostraca; Decapoda; Portunidae
Exons: 3
Source: RefSeq, a predicted model, not a curated record
GAAUAUGAAGAUAUCACACUUCGCUCCUCCCUCCCCGCAUUCCUUUGCUUAUCCACUUUUGCGAAUAUAAAGUUUCUUACUGUAUAAAUUCUUACUUUCACAGGUAUUUUGCACUCAAAGAUGACGACAGAAAAUGCUAGUGACUUUGCAAAUAUAGAAAAGAGGUUCCUGCUGAGGAUCCUCAACUGUCUCACCAUCCCUUGUGUAUGUCUCCGAGGGAACUUCAGAGGAAGGCACACGGGAAGCGCCAAGAGAGAGGAUUAUCAGGGCUGUGGACAGCUACACUUUCCUCCAUCACAAGCUCAUCAGAAGGUAAAUCAAGGACUUGUGGGCAGCAGACGGCACCAGGACGAUCAUUACGGGAAGCAGGCGGCCCCGUGACAGGCGGCGGCGGCUGCUACUCACCGCCACGUCUAGCGAAAUCAGGGUGGGAUAUCAGAGGUUUUAGACGAUAUUUGGUUUGUGGGCCAAGAUUUAUUUUCAGUUGGUGAAGAAAAUCGUUUUAUAUUAUACACCGAUGAGCGUGCAAACACACUCACACACACACGCACACACACACACACACACACACACAUAGGUAAAAGUUUUUUGUUGUUUGAUAUUCACUUAUAUCCACAUGAAACCACCUUGCUGUUGCUGCUGCAAGCUUCCUACAUGUGUCUCUUCUAUUAAUUUUCCUCCAAUACUAUAGUUAUUGUCAAGUACUCUACUUCAGCCAAACAGCCUAAUGAAGAAACCGUCUGUUCCUGCAUUAUAUUUAAUUGAAUACGUCUCGCUAUUCACCUCUUCAUACUACCAACAUGUUUUCCUUUCUCUCAUAAUGUGGCUAGUUUUCCUUCUAACGACCUAAGUAAGAAGCUAAGUGUGUUAUUAUUUAAUAUCCACUCAUAUCCAUAUGAAUCCCUCUAGCCAUUGACCGCUACCUUCACUUUUGCAGCUUAAAUGGGAAAUCCAGUAUCUUGAAUUCUUAAUAGAGUAAAUGAUCAU